GAUGAAGAACGUAGCGAAAUGCGAUACGUAAUGUGAAUUGCAGAAUUCAGUGAAUCAUCGAGUCUUUGAACGCACAUUGCGCCCCCUGGUAUUCCGGGGGGCAUGCCUGUCCGAGCGUCAUUUCAACCCUCAUGCCCCUAGGGCGUGGUGUUGGGGAUCGGCCAAAGCCCGCGAGGGACGGCCGGCCCCUAAAUCUAGUGGCGGACCCGUCGUGGCCUCCUCUGCGAAGUAGUGAUAUUCCGCAUCGGAGAGCGAUGAGCCCCUGCCGUUAAACCCCCAACUUUCCAAGGUUGACCUCAGAUCAGGUAGGAAUACCCGCUGAACUUAAGCAUAUCAAUAAGCGGAGGA
RNAcentral lists this unclassified non-coding RNA (348 nucleotides) under soil metagenome. RNAcentral describes it as "partial contains 5.8S ribosomal RNA, internal transcribed spacer 2, and large subunit ribosomal RNA". The stretch from base 1 to 120 matches the Rfam family "5.8S ribosomal RNA", at positions 35 to 154 of the family's 154-position model. The record is from RNAcentral.